This 72-nucleotide transfer RNA is filed under the name Bos taurus (domestic cattle). It matches the Rfam family "tRNA". Rfam says of the family: Transfer RNA (tRNA) molecules are approximately 80 nucleotides in length. The record is from Rfam by way of RNAcentral. RNAcentral also lists the same sequence under 3 other names. Lineage: Eukaryota; Metazoa; Chordata; Mammalia; Artiodactyla; Bovidae.
UCCCUAGUGGCUCAGAUGGUAAAGCAUCUGUCUGCAAUGCAGGAGACUCGGGUUCGAUCCCUGAGUUGGGAA